AGAGUUUGAUCCUGGCUCAGAUUGAACGCUGGCGGCAGGCCUAACACAUGCAAGUCGAGCGGUAACACAGAGAGCUUGCUCCCGGGUGACGAGCGGCGGACGGGUGAGUAAUGUCUGGGAAACUGCCUGAUGGAGGGGGAUAACUACUGGAAACGGUAGCUAAUACCGCAUAAUGUCGCAAGACCAAAGAGGGGGACCUUCGGGCCUCUUGCCAUCAGAUGUGCCCAGAUGGGAUUAGCUAGUAGGUGGGGUAACGGCUCACCUAGGCGACGAUCCCUAGCUGGUCUGAGAGGAUGACCAGCCACACUGGAACUGAGACACGGUCCAGACUCCUACGGGAGGCAGCAGUGGGGAAUAUUGCACAAUGGGCGCAAGCCUGAUGCAGCCAUGCCGCGUGUAUGAAGAAGGCCUUCGGGUUGUAAAGUACUUUCAGCGGGGAGGAAGGCGAUAAGGUUAAUAACCUUGUCGAUUGACGUUACCCGCAGAAGAAGCACCGGCUAACUCCGUGCCAGCAGCCGCGGUAAUACGGAGGGUGCAAGCGUUAAUCGGAAUUACUGGGCGUAAAGCGCACGCAGGCGGUCUGUCAAGUCGGAUGUGAAAUCCCCGGGCUCAACCUGGGAACUGCAUUCGAAACUGGCAGGCUAGAGUCUUGUAGAGGGGGGUAGAAUUCCAGGUGUAGNGGUGAAAUGCGUAGAGAUCUGGAGGAAUACCGGUGGCGAAGGCGGCCCCCUGGACAAAGACUGACGCUCAGGUGCGAAAGCGUGGGGAGCAAACAGGAUUAGAUACCCUGGUAGUCCACGCCGUAAACGAUGUCGACUUGGAGGUUGUGCCCUUGAGGCGUGGCUUCCGGAGCUAACGCGUUAAGUCGACCGCCUGGGGAGUACGGCCGCAAGGUUAAAACUCAAAUGAAUUGACGGGGGCCCGCACAAGCGGUGGAGCAUGUGGUUUAAUUCGAUGCAACGCGAAGAACCUUACCUACUCUUGACAUCCAGAGAACUUUCCAGAGAUGGAUUGGUGCCUUCGGGAACUCUGAGACAGGUGCUGCAUGGCUGUCGUCAGCUCGUGUUGUGAAAUGUUGGGUUAAGUCCCGCAACGAGCGCAACCCUUAUCCUUUGUUGCCAGCGGUUCGGCCGGGAACUCAAAGGAGACUGCCAGUGAUAAACUGGAGGAAGGUGGGGAUGACGUCAAGUCAUCAUGGCCCUUACGAGUAGGGCUACACACGUGCUACAAUGGCGCAUACAAAGAGAAGCGACCUCGCGAGAGCAAGCGGACCUCAUAAAGUGCGUCGUAGUCCGGAUUGGAGUCUGCAACUCGACUCCAUGAAGUCGGAAUCGCUAGUAAUCGUAGAUCAGAAUGCUACGGUGAAUACGUUCCCGGGCCUUGUACACACCGCCCGUCACACCAUGGGAGUGGGUUGCAAAAGAAGUAGGUAGCUUAACCUUCGGGAGGGCGCUUACCACUUUGUGAUUCAUGACUGGGGUGAAGUCGUAACAAGGUAGCCGUA
Molecule: ribosomal RNA, 1504 nt
Filed under: Enterobacter asburiae
Lineage: Bacteria; Pseudomonadati; Pseudomonadota; Gammaproteobacteria; Enterobacterales; Enterobacteriaceae
Description: bacterial SSU rRNA
Rfam family: Bacterial small subunit ribosomal RNA
Source: RNAcentral